RNAcentral lists this ribosomal RNA (460 nucleotides) under Blastocystis sp. RNAcentral describes it as "SSU rRNA". It matches the Rfam family "Eukaryotic small subunit ribosomal RNA", at positions 477 to 953 of the family's 1831-position model. Lineage: Eukaryota; Bigyra; Opalinata; Blastocystidae. The record is from RNAcentral.
ACAAUGCGGAACUUUUAGUUUUGCAAUUGGAUUGAGAACAAUGUACAAAUGUUAUCGAUAAACAAUUGGAGGGCAAGUCUGGUGCCAGCAGCCGCGGUAAUUCCAGCUCCAAUAGCGUAUAUUAACGUUGUUGCAGUUAAAAAGCUCGUAGUUGAAAUGUGGGAUGAAGUAUAUAAUGAAUUUCUAAUUCAAUUAUAUAUUGAUUCCCCUCUCCAAUUUAUUAUUAUGGGUAUUAAUUUAUUUGUAAUAAGAAUUGGUCAUUUACUGUGAGAAAAUUAGAGUGUUCAAAGCAGGCAUUUGCUUGAAUAGAUUAGCAUGGAAUAAUACUAAAAGGCUUUUAUGGUCGAUUUAAUUGGUUUGUUCAUAAAAGCAAGAUUAAAAGGAACAGUUGGGGGUAUUCAUAUUCAAUAGUUAGAGGUGAAAUUCUCGGAUUUAUGGAAGAUGAACAAGUGCGAAAGCA